GGUCACAUAACUCAGUGGUAGAGUGCUACCUUGACAUGGUAGUGGUCGCUGGUUCGAGUCCAGCUGUGACCACCA
RNAcentral lists this transfer RNA (75 nucleotides) under Campylobacterales bacterium. Its description in RNAcentral is "tRNA-Val". It matches the Rfam family "tRNA". Rfam says of the family: Transfer RNA (tRNA) molecules are approximately 80 nucleotides in length. The record is from RNAcentral. Lineage: Bacteria; Pseudomonadati; Campylobacterota; Epsilonproteobacteria; Campylobacterales.